RNAcentral lists this long non-coding RNA (2372 nucleotides) under Nicotiana benthamiana. RNAcentral's name for it is "long non-coding RNA (NBEN_LNC021668)". Lineage: Eukaryota; Viridiplantae; Streptophyta; Magnoliopsida; Solanales; Solanaceae. The record is from RNAcentral.
GUGCCAGUACGCUCUAAAAGAUUGACGGAUAGAAUUUGGAAAAAUAACAAACUUGUCAGCGUCAGAGUUUUAACAAAUAUUACAAUUGCACGUUGGGGGAUGCAAUGCUCUUAGGCAGUUAACCAUUUCUAACAUGAUUUCGCUUCAAUCGUCUGCAUCAUCCUGUCUAAUUUAUGAUUACCUCUUUUUUUAAUAAAAGACCCGAUAUUGUAAAUACGACCUUUCAGCACCUCGGGGGCGCAUAUUUUAAGGCUGUGUUAACUAACCGACCAAAAUCCUGAAACCAUGAUUAAUGGUGGCUGUUAAUGCAAAUUCAGUCUCCGGCGUCCCUUUCGGGGACAUUCGGCUAUAUUUGACAAAACAGCAUCGCCAAACUUUUUUACGACUCUUUUUUGUUUUAUGAAAAAUAGAAAACCAGAUAUUUGCAAACACGGCCUUUCAGCGCCUCGGGGAUGAAGAUUCUAAGGCUGUGUGGUUCAAUUGACCGAGAAUCUAAAAAUGACCAAAGGUGGCCGUUUAUGCAAAUUCAGUCUUCCGGCGUCCCUUUCGGGAACAUUCGGCUAUUUUUGACGUAAAAACCAUCACCUCACUUCCUUAUGACGAAAAUUAAAAUUUUGAUAUAUUUUUGGCUUUUUUAGAAAAGGGGAGGUUGGACCCGAUGAGGGUUGCCUACGUAUCUCACACCCUGUGAGAAUUAAACCAGCGUAGUUCGCCCAAUAACUAACUAAAAUUUUAAGCAAAACUCUUUUUCAAUCUUUAUCUAUUUUUUGAAAUAACAACCCCCUUUUGUUCUAUUUUCCAAUUUUUUUUAAAAACUCUUUUUUUUCUCUAUUUUGUUUGGCCUUUAGUAAAACAAACUUCAUAUAAAAAACAUUUCUUCUUUGUUUUUCAAUUUUUUUCAAAAUUUUAGUAGAGUUCCGACAAUAUUAGACAUUGGGUUUUCAAAAAUAAUCAACUAACUCUCCAACUGCUAUUUUUCUAUUUUUCUCAAUUUUCCAACAAUCCCGAGAUUCAGAAGCUGGUCAACAUGCGGAUCCAAAACAAAUAAAUUCCCAUAACACAAGUAGGAUGCAUCAAGAUGGUCUUUUCUAUUUCAGGUUGCUAUUCCUAGACGAACCCAACUCCUGUGUUGAGUCCCCUAAGUCAACAAUGUACAUGAUGCAAAUAAGUAUUCCCACUAGGGAUCCAAUAUGAGGUUAAGUUAUUCUAGGUUCAAAACCUGGGUGUUUGUUCUAGACCUGGCUUACCCGAGCGUGUUGAGUCCCCUAAGUCAAAAUGCACAUGAUGCAAACAAGAGUUCCUUCAAGGGAUCCGGUAUGGGGUUGAUUUAUUGUAGGUUCAAAACCUCGUGUUUGUUCUAGACCUGGCUUCCCCGAGCGGACAGCUCGAGCCGAGGAGGAAGCGGCAAUCCGGGAAUAUAGAAGCUUCUUCGGCUUUAGACUUAUCCAAACCUCGGUCUAAAUUGGGAUUUGACACUAUACAGAAAAGAAGUCAUACACCGUACACCCUUCUUCACAAUUCAAAAGACUCAGAGAGGAGAUGAGUUUCGGCACACUUUAUAUACAGUUCACGUAAUAUCAAAGCGGUAAAAGCAAUCAAUUAGCAUAUUAAGCACAUAUCAUGUAACAAAAUCAGAUAAAGCCAAACACAACAAUUAUUCUAAGCUUGAAUUCUGAACCCUGAACAAAACGUUCUGGGUUCGUUUCCCCAACAGAGUCGCCAGAGCGGUGACACCUCCUUUUUACCGCUCGCAGGGUGUAGAGGAUUUUUUUUCAAUUAAAGGACAAUCGAAAUGGGAUUAUUUAUUAAGGAAUCAGAGUCGCCACUUGGGAGAUUUAUGGUGUCCCAAGUCACCGUAAUCCCGAAUCGAGGAAAAGAAUGACUCUGUUUAACAGUCCGCGCACCAGAAAUCUGGAUAAGGAAUUCUGUUAACCCCGGAGAAGGUGUUAGGCAUUUCCAAGUUCCGUGGUUCUAGCACGGUCGCUCAACCGUCAUAUUUAUCUUAUUUAUCCGAUGUUAUUACAUGAAGAACCUAUGUGCCAAUUUUGCUUUUUACCGCUUUUAUUUAAUAUUUGUUUAUUUGAGAAAGUGCGUCAUUUAAAGUGUGCUUUCGGAUUGCGCUGCCGGAGCCCGCAAUCCUAGGCAAACUCUAUCCAACGUAUUAGGAUUUGGACUGCAUAAAAUGCCCACCCGAGUUUAGGAAAGAUAACAUUAUUAAGUACACACCUAAAGAUGCUAACGCGUUAUUAAUUUUGAGAAGGCCGUGAAAUUCUCUAACUGGCCCAUCCCGGAGUCUAAGAAUUUAAAUAUGGGAUUUUUACAUAUACAUCCAAUAUAGCAAACCUUAUUACCAUUAUUGUGCCUUGUUUGGU